This 248-nucleotide ribosomal RNA is filed under the name uncultured bacterium. Its description in RNAcentral is "partial 16S ribosomal RNA". It matches the Rfam family "Bacterial small subunit ribosomal RNA", at positions 335 to 601 of the family's 1533-position model. The record is from RNAcentral.
GUCCUACGGGAGGCAGCAGUGGGGAAUAUUGCACAAUGGGGGAAAACCUGAUGCAGCGACGCCGCGUGAGUGAAGAAGUAAUUCGUUAUGUAAAGCUCUAUCAGCAGGGAAGAAAAUGACGGUACCUGAGUAAGAAGCCCCGGCUAACUACGUGCCAGCAGCCGCGGUAAUACGUAGGGGGCAAGCGUUAUCCGGAUUUACUGGGUGUAAAGGGAGCGUAGACGGCAGUGCAAGUCUGGAGUGAAAGG